AUUUGUGCUGAUGAGUUUCCUGGAUCCUCAGCCACCUACCGAAUACUGGAGGUUGGCUGUGGUGUGGGAAACACAGUCUUUCCAAUUUUACAAACGAACAAAAAUUUCUAAGAAAAUGGCAAGUCCUAGUACUAACACUGAAGAAAAGAGAUUGUUCUACUCUUGAAGUUACAGUCUGAGGAACCCACCUCAAAUGGGAGAUUGACUUAGCUUCAAGUUAUGGCCAUUAAUCAUCAAUAUCAUCAAUGAAUGUAAAACUGAAUGUAGAUGGCAUCUUUGCCACAGCCUCUUUAUGCCAUUUAAAUAAGAUCACUGUGUUCAGUAUCUUACUAGAACCCACUUGUUCAUGUAAUUCACUGGCUUAGAAUUGGCAUGUUUUCUACUGCCUGUGAAUCAGGUUUAAAUUGUUGGGCAUAGUUUUCAAAGUCCUCUACAAGAGUGUGCCCUAUAAAGUAUGUCCUCUUA
Molecule: small RNA, 465 nt
Filed under: Pan troglodytes (chimpanzee)
Lineage: Eukaryota; Metazoa; Chordata; Mammalia; Primates; Hominidae
Description: processed transcript
Source: RNAcentral